RNAcentral lists this ribosomal RNA (208 nucleotides) under uncultured bacterium. RNAcentral describes it as "partial 16S ribosomal RNA". The record is from RNAcentral.
CGCCUCCCUCCGCCGCCACUCAGACUCCGUACGGGAGGCGAGCGAGGUGGGGUAAGUUUGUCGACAAGUACGGGGAAACCGUAGGACGCAGCACGCGCGUGGAGGAGUAGAAUCCGUAGGAGUAGGUAACUACCUUCGUAGUAGGGAAGAUAAUGACGGUACCUAUAGAAGAGCCCGGCUAACUUCGUGCCAGCAGCCGCGGUAAUAC